This 497-nucleotide ribosomal RNA is filed under the name uncultured bacterium. Its description in RNAcentral is "partial 16S ribosomal RNA". It matches the Rfam family "Bacterial small subunit ribosomal RNA", at positions 28 to 507 of the family's 1533-position model. The record is from RNAcentral.
GAUGAACGCUGGCGGCGUGCCUAAUACAUGCAAGUCGAGCGAACAGACGAGGAGCUUGCUCCUCUGACGUUAGCGGCGGACGGGUGAGUAACACGUGGAUAACCUACCUAUAAGACUGGGAUAACUUCGGGAAACCGGAGCUAAUACCGGAUAAUAUAUUGAACCGCAUGGUUCAAUAGUGAAAGACGGUUUUGCUGUCACUUAUAGAUGGAUCCGCGCCGCAUUAGCUAGUUGGUAAGGUAACGGCUUACCAAGGCGACGAUGCGUAGCCGACCUGAGAGGGUGAUCGGCCACACUGGAACUGAGACACGGUCCAGACUGCUACGGGAGGCAGCAGUAGGGAAUCUUCCGCAAUGGGCGAAAGCCUGACGGAGCAACGCCGCGUGAGUGAUGAAGGUCUUCGGAUCGUAAAACUCUGUUAUUAGGGAAGAACAAAUGUGUAAGUAACUAUGCACGUCUUGACGGUACCUAAUCAGAAAGCCACGGCUAACUACGUG